UUGGCUGAUCAUAAAAAAAAAAGGUAUAAAGACGCAUACUUUUCAGAGUGACUUAUAUUUGGUUAAGCAUCUACUUUUCUUAAAAAUUUAUGUAAAAUAUCUAUUAUACCCUUAAAAUUAGAUACAAUAUUUUCACUUACCAUAAUUGGAAGUCUUGGAGGUGGCUGCACAUAUUUCAAACUAUUUGAAGAGACCCUGAUCCAUUUUAGCAUGAUGGCUUAAGAGCACUUUUGAAAAAAAUAAAAAAAUCACAAUUUUGGAAAAGAGGCUUUCUUGUAUCCUUCAUGGAUUUUUUUUUCAUAAAAUAUGAUUGAUCGUACUUCCUCCAUUAUUUUUUCUGCCAACCAAACAAGUCCUUUUAUCAUUAAGAAAAAAAAUAUGAUUGAUGUGUCUUCACCUGAUUCAGUCACGGGUGUAGUAUCGAGGGAGCUAUUGCCUGAAGUAGCAGCAAAAUAAUUGGACUGGAAUGAAGUCAUCAUCUGGCGGCAUACAUUGGAUAGAAAAAGGUUAAAGAGCAGCCGCCUUGAAGGUGAUCGAGGUGUUACUUACCCACGUGAAUGGUAUAAACAUUAGCAAGAGUCAAGACCUUCGGCAAAAUCGGGAAUUACGGAUAAAGGUCCA
Molecule: long non-coding RNA, 621 nt
Filed under: Phoenix dactylifera (date palm)
Lineage: Eukaryota; Viridiplantae; Streptophyta; Magnoliopsida; Arecales; Arecaceae
Description: long non-coding RNA (PDAC_LNC019530)
Source: RNAcentral